This 255-nucleotide long non-coding RNA is filed under the name Homo sapiens (human). RNAcentral's name for it is "HSALNT0010182". The record is from RNAcentral. Lineage: Eukaryota; Metazoa; Chordata; Mammalia; Primates; Hominidae.
GAUAAUGUACUGUUUCUCUCCACCACCCACUUUCACCUAUGAGUUACAGCAAUAUAAAAAGUGUACAAGUUUGGGGAGAUUUGGGGGUAGAAUUCUUCCCCAGUCUUCCAUCAUCUAGUCUGAAGUCUCUAAAAUAAGAAUCACAUCAGAAAAAUGAGAUACGGAAAACCGUUAACAGCAAAGUCUCCAAGCAUGGUUCCUGCUGGCCUGUGACCCUUUGAGGAAGGCCCCUAUAAAAAGGGAGGCACUAAAACU